This 432-nucleotide ribosomal RNA is filed under the name uncultured Streptococcus sp. Its description in RNAcentral is "bacterial SSU rRNA". It matches the Rfam family "Bacterial small subunit ribosomal RNA", at positions 948 to 1382 of the family's 1533-position model. The record is from RNAcentral. Lineage: Bacteria; Bacillati; Bacillota; Bacilli; Lactobacillales; Streptococcaceae.
AAUUCGAAGCAACGCGAAGAACCUUACAGGUCUUGACAUCCCGAUGCUAUUUCUAGAGAUAGAAAGUUACUUCGGUACAUCGGUGACAGGUGGUGCAUGGUUGUCGUCAGCUCGUGUCGUGAGAUGUUGGGUUAAGUCCCGCAACGAGCGCAACCCCUAUUGUUAGUUGCCAUCAUUCAGUUGGGCACUCUAGCGAGACUGCCGGUAAUAAACCGGAGGAAGGUGGGGAUGACGUCAAAUCAUCAUGCCCCUUAUGACCUGGGCUACACACGUGCUACAAUGGUUGGUACAACGAGUUGCGAGUCGGUGACGGCGAGCUAAUCUCUUAAAGCCAAUCUCAGUUCGGAUUGUAGGCUGCAACCCGCCUACAUGAAGUCGGAAUCGCUAGUAAUCGCGGAUCAGCACGCCGCGGUGAAUACGUUCCCGGGCCUU